This 317-nucleotide long non-coding RNA is filed under the name Bos taurus (domestic cattle). RNAcentral's name for it is "long non-coding RNA NONBTAT026936". The record is from RNAcentral. Lineage: Eukaryota; Metazoa; Chordata; Mammalia; Artiodactyla; Bovidae.
ACGUGAAUGUGUAGCUAAGGAACAAAAAUCUGGAGACUGAGUUUUCAUUUUCCGGGUGUUUUGUAGACUUCACUGUUGCUCUGUUGUUUCUGUGGGGUUUUUUCUUUUGGUGAUUGAUGUGCCCUCCCUUCUAUGUUUCCUUCCUGAUGCUUUCCUAACCUGGGGCGCCAGGCAGCCUUGCUCCCCCCAGGCUCCUUGGUUCAGGCCAGCAUCUGGGGGCCUGCCCAUGUCUAUUUGGGAGCAGUGAACAGGGGUGCAUGGAUAGGGGUGCACAGUGAGCCUCACCGCAAGUGAGCUCAGGGUUCUGGCUCUACAUU